UACAGGGUGUAAUGGUAGCACAACUGACUCUGGAUCAGUUUGUUGAGGUUCGAGUCCUUAACCGGGAGCCA
RNAcentral lists this transfer RNA (71 nucleotides) under Clostridiaceae bacterium. Its description in RNAcentral is "tRNA-Gln". The stretch from base 6 to 60 matches the Rfam family "tRNA", at positions 9 to 63 of the family's 71-position model. Rfam says of the family: Transfer RNA (tRNA) molecules are approximately 80 nucleotides in length. Their secondary structure includes four short double-helical elements and three loops (D, anti-codon, and T loops). The record is from RNAcentral. Lineage: Bacteria; Bacillati; Bacillota; Clostridia; Eubacteriales; Clostridiaceae.